GAGUUUGAUCGUGGCUCAGAAUGAACGCUGGCGGCAUGCCUAACACAUGCAAGUCGAACGAGAUCUUCGGAUCUAGUGGCGCACGGGUGCGUAACGCGUGGGAAUCUACCCCUUGGUUCGGAAUAACAGUUGGAAACGACUGCUAAUACCGGAUGACGACGUAAGUCCAAAGAUUUAUCGCCGAGGGAUGAGCCCGCGUAGGAUUAGCUAGUUGGUGUGGUAAAGGCGCACCAAGGCGACGAUCCUUAGCUGGUCUGAGAGGAUGAUCAGCCACACUGGGACUGAGACACGGCCCAGACUCCUACGGGAGGCAGCAGUGGGGAAUAUUGGACAAUGGGCGAAAGCCUGAUCCAGCAAUGCCGCGUGAGUGAUGAAGGCCUUAGGGUUGUAAAGCUCUUUUACCCGGGAUGAUAAUGACAGUACCGGGAGAAUAAGCUCCGGCUAACUCCGUGCCAGCCGCCGCGGUAAC
RNAcentral lists this ribosomal RNA (469 nucleotides) under uncultured bacterium. Its description in RNAcentral is "bacterial SSU rRNA". It matches the Rfam family "Bacterial small subunit ribosomal RNA", at positions 9 to 524 of the family's 1533-position model. The record is from RNAcentral.